Long non-coding RNA from Mauremys reevesii (Reeves's turtle), 811 nucleotides. RefSeq lists it as uncharacterized. The record is from RefSeq and is a predicted model, not a curated record. The transcript has 7 exons. NCBI's taxonomy places the organism in Eukaryota, Metazoa, Chordata, Testudines, Geoemydidae.
CUACUCCAAAAAACUAUCACAGGAAUAAUGAAGAAAACAUCUAGUUAAGAAUCUCCAGUCCUGCUAUACAAUUGGUUUUCUGUACCAGUCUGAGAACCCCAACUUUAUAUUAGUCCAUAACUUCAGUUUUGUUUGUCUCCUCCUGCUGGCAAUGAAAUGUAACCAUACAAAUGGAAAAUGAUGUAGUGGCAGCUGCAGAAAAUCUGUUUUCAGGACUGACCUUGCUCUUAGAGGCAGAGUAGUUUUCCACAUAAUUCUUCCAGCAAAAACAUUUAACAUAACCAUGUUUUCAUCAUGCAGAAAAGGUUUAGAAUCUAUCUGAUAAAGAGCAAAGUCAUAUUUGGACAGAAGUGGGAGCUGUUGGAACAAAUGUGGAGAUAUUAACUGAACACUUUGGAUAUGAUGAAAUGAACCUACAGGCUUUUGUUUAGAAGGGAAAAAUGUGUUCAUAGGAAGGUCUGUUAGAGUGGCUGCUGGUGAACACAGAGGAGAGUGAACACAUUUGGAAAGUUAUUCUCAAUAUUGGAAGUGGAAGAAAUAGAAUGAAAAGAUGGAUCAUUUCAGUUUAUCAUCAGAUGAUAUUGGUUUCCACCUUUUCACAUGUGAAUCACUGGCCACAAUUGAGAAGCGGAUUGCUGAGAAAAAAACAGAGCAAGCCAAGGCUAGGCUGGAAAAUCGUGUUCAACAGGCUGAAGUAGAAAAACGUCAGCCCCGACCUUAUCUGAGAGCUUUCAAAAAGCUGCCUGCUCUGUUUGGGAAUCCUCCUCUGGAGCUCAUCGGGGAACCCUUGGAAGAUCUUGAUCCGUACUAC